This 492-nucleotide ribosomal RNA is filed under the name uncultured bacterium. Its description in RNAcentral is "partial 16S ribosomal RNA". It matches the Rfam family "Bacterial small subunit ribosomal RNA", at positions 29 to 507 of the family's 1533-position model. The record is from RNAcentral.
AGUGAACGCUGGCGGUAGGCCUAACACAUGCAAGUCGAACGGCAGCACAGUAAGAGCUUGCUCUUACGGGUGGCGAGUGGCGGACGAGUGAGGAAUACAUCGGAAUCUACUUUUUCGUGGGGGAUAACGUAGGGAAACUUACGCUAAUACCGCAUACGACCUACGGGUGAAAGCAGGGGAUCUUCGGACCUUGCGCGAUUGAAUGAGCCGAUGUCGGAUUAGCUAGUUGGCGGGGUAAAGGCCCACCAAGGCGACGAUCCGUAGCUGGUCUGAGAGGAUGAUCAGCCACACUGGAACUGAGACACGGUCCAGACUCCUACGGGAGGCAGCAGUGGGGAAUAUUGGACAAUGGGCGAAAGCCUGAUCCAGCCAUACCGCGUGGGUGAAGAAGGCCUUCGGGUUGUAAAGCCCUUUUGUUGGGAAAGAAAAGCAGCAGGUUAAUACCCCGCUGUUCUGACGGUACCCAAAGAAUAAGCACCGGCUAACUUCGUG